CUAACACAUGCAAGUCGAACGAGAUCUUCGGAUCUAGUGGCAGACGGGUGAGUAACGCGUGGGAACCUGCCCUUUAGUAGAGAAUAACUCGGGGAAACUCGAGCUAAUACUUUAUACGCCCUUUGGGGGAAAGCUUUAUGCGCUAUUGGAUGGGCCCGCGUUAGAUUAGUUUGUUGGUGAGGUAACGGCUCACCAAGGCUACGAUCUAUAGCUGGUCUGAGAGGAUGAUCAGCCACACUGGGACUGAGACACGGCCCAGACUCCUACGGGAGGCAGCAGUGGGGAAUAUUGGACAAUGGGGGCAACCCUGAUCCAGCGAUGCCGCGUGAGUGAUGAAGGCCCUAGGGUUGUAAAGCUCUUUUGUCAGGGAAGAUAAUGACGGUACCUGAAGAAUAAGAUCCGGCUAACUCCGUGCCAGCAGCCGCGGUAAUACGGAGGGAUCUAGCGUUAUUCGGAAUUACUGGGCGUAAAGCGAGCGUAGGCUGAUUUGUAAGUUGGAUGUGANAUCCCAGAGCUUAACUCUUGGAACUGCAUCCAAAACUACAUUUCUUGAGUUUGGUAGAGGAGAGUGGAAUUCCUUAGUGUANAGGUGAAAUUUCGUAGAUAUUAGGAGGAACACCAGUGGG
This 626-nucleotide ribosomal RNA is filed under the name uncultured alpha proteobacterium NAC11-14. RNAcentral's name for it is "bacterial SSU rRNA". It matches the Rfam family "Bacterial small subunit ribosomal RNA", at positions 48 to 716 of the family's 1533-position model. Lineage: Bacteria; Pseudomonadati; Pseudomonadota; Alphaproteobacteria. The record is from RNAcentral.